AGGAUUAGAUACCCUGGUAGUCCACGCCGUAAACGGUGGGUACUAGGUGUGGGUUCCUUCCUUGGGAUCCGUGCCGCAGCUAACGCAUUAAGUACCCCGCCUGGGGAGUACGGCCGCAAGGCUAAAACUCAAAGGAAUUGACGGGGGCCUGCACAAGCGGCGGAGCAUGUGGUUUAAUUCGAAGCAACGCGCAGAACCUUACCAGCUUUUGACAUGUCCUGGACGGAUUGCAGAGAUGCGAUCUUCCCUUCGGGGCCGGGAACACAGGUGCUGCAUGGCUGUCGUCAGCUCGUGUCGUGAGAUGUUGGGUUAAGUCCCGCAACGAGCGCAACCCUCGCCCUUAGUUGCCAUCAUUCAGUUGGGCACUCCAGGGGGACUGCCGGUGAUAAGCCGGAGGAAGGUGGGGAUGACGUCAAGUCCUCAUGGCCCUUACAGGCUGGGCUACACACGUGCUACAAUGGCGGUGACAACGGGAGGCGAAGGGGCGACCCUUAGCAAAUCUCGAAAAACCGUCUCAGUUCGGAUUGCACUCUGCAACUCGAGUGCAUGAAGUUGGAAUCGCUAGUAAUCGCGGAUCAGCACGCCGCGGUGAAUACGUUCCCGGGCCUUGUACACACCGCCCGUCACACCAUGGGAGUUGGUUUU
Molecule: ribosomal RNA, 645 nt
Filed under: uncultured Pseudomonadota bacterium
Lineage: Bacteria; Pseudomonadati; Pseudomonadota
Description: bacterial SSU rRNA
Rfam family: Bacterial small subunit ribosomal RNA
Source: RNAcentral